CAGAGUCAACUGUAACAGAGUUGACAUUUUCCAUAGUUGUGUGCUUUAGCUCCAGAUGCUAACCUCAGAGCAAGACUCCACAUGACGUGUCUAAAACACAACUUUCUGUAUUUUCAUCAUGUUUGUUUUUAAAAAGUGAAUUGACUGAAAUCUCACAGUAAACUGAGUUGAAACAUAAUUAACCUAAUAUUGGCCUCAAUGUCUUCCAGAGUUUCCUGACAAAGGAAGUGACAUCACUGCAGCGUCACAUGUUUUGUCUAUCAGUGAUUUACAUAUUGAUCUGCCUUUACAUGACCGAUGGAACAGAGUUUAGCAUAACGCUGAGACACACACUACAUCUGUUUCUAUGACUGAUAAUAGACGUUUCACACAAAUUUAACUUAACAGUUAACACAAAAAGGAUGAGAAUUAGACUUAAUUAAUGAAUGACAAUUAAAGCUGGCUGUAUGAUUCAGGAGGCGGAGACACUCCAAAAUAGCUGAAGUGGAGUCUUUAAGUUCAUAUUUUCUAAACCCUAUAUACAGAUUAUUAUUAGAGAUAACGUGAUAUAAUGUGUUGCUUUUGAAAGAUGUUUGAUUACAGUGUAUGUGAACAGUACAGACGUGUCCGUGUUUGUGGAAUAAUGAUCAUCUCUGUGUGUGCAGACGAUUCCUCCAGAUCAGGAGCUGCUGGUUUGGUACGGGAACUCUCACAACACUUUCCUGGGAAUUCCUGGAGUCCCGGGCUCUGAAGACGAACAGCAGAAGAAGAGGAGCGAAGAGGCUCCGGCGUGUGACUCCUCCCCCUGCUCCUCCUCCUCCUCCUCCUGCGGCUCCUCCUCUUCCUCUGCGAGCCGCAUGCGCUGUGUGAUCUGCCACCGGGGCUUUAACUCUCGCAGUAACCUGCGCUCGCACAUGCGCAUACACACGCUGGACAAGCCGUUCGUGUGCCGCUUCUGCAGCCGCCGCUUCAGCCAGUCCUCCACGCUGCGCAACCACGUGCGUCUGCACACCGGCGAGCGCCCGUACCGCUGCGCAGUGUGUCAGAGCGCGUACUCGCAGCUGGCCGGACUGCGCGCGCACCAGAAGAGCGCGCGACACCGGCCCCCCACGCAGACCACACCGCAGACACCCGUGCACACCGCUGCGCACCCUGCACUGCUGCGACACACACCUGCUAUGGUGAUCUGACAGACCCAACACACACACGCACGCACUUUACACAGCACUGACGAAAGUGAAUAUUGAGCCUUGAACAUUUCGUUUACUCACGACGGUGGGAGGGGCGUGGCCUGUGGGGUUACAUUUGCGACAAUUCUGUGUGCACAUGCGUGAGUGUGCAAAACGGCAGGUGCAUCUAUGCUAGUAAUUCUGUGUGCAAAGGAGAGAGGGGUCUGGAUGCAGUCCUGGUGCAGGUGCAGCCUGAGCUGCAUGCAAUGCUUUUAAUGCACACCCAUAACCCCGCCCAUCACAGUGAUGUCACUAGCUCCAUUGAGUGCAUUGUGUCUGAGUCUCAACUUGCAAAUCCAAGUCUGCAUCCACAAUCUAUUGGGCGCUGUUUUGAGCAUGCAAAAUGGCUUGUUGCACAUGCAUUAACAAUUCUUUGCACAAAAGAUCAUGCUUUGGGAGUGCGCAAUGGUUUGUUGCAUGUGCAUUAACAAUCAUCUGUGCAAAAGAUCAUGUUUCGAGUGAGCAAAACGGCUGGGUGCAUCUAUGAUAAUAAUUCUGUGUGUUAGAGAGAGGGUGUCUGGAUGCAGUCCUGGUGCACAUGCAAUCUGAGCUGCAUGCAACGGUUUUAAUGCACCCCUAACCCCGCCCCUCACAGUGAUGUCACUAGUUCCAUUAAGUGCAUUGUGUCUCCAAGUCGGCAUCCAGAAUCUAUUGGGCAAAAGAUCACAUUUUGAGCAUGCAACAAGCGCACAUUAACAAGUCUGUGCACAAACAGUUUUAAGUGUCAAAACAGCUUGUUGCACAUGAAUUAUUGAUUCUUUGCACAUAAGAUGAUGCUUUGGGAGUGCACAAUGUUUUUUUGCAUCUGCAUUAACAAUUGUUUGCACAAAAUGUCAGGUUUUGAGCAUGCAAAAUGGCUUGUUGCUUGCUCUAAACAUGAUCUUUUGUGCACAUAAUUGUCGCAAAUCUGACCCCACAAUGGCUAGGCAUAUUUCGAAAACUGCAGAGUAUAAGCAGAUGGGCAGAUUUUGAUGAAAGAUUAACAAACAGUAUUUUAUUGCUAAAUAAACUUUGGAUAUUUUAAUUUCAUGCAGACUUUAAUGUGCUGAACGUAUGACAGCACACUCUACAGGAAAAUAACUCAAACUCAUAAAGGUUUAGAAACACUUAAAGGUGAAAAAAAAGUAUUGAGUAAAUGUUCAUGUUUGGGUGAACUGUCCCUUUAAUGCAUUUUAACUGUCUUAAUUGUGUAAAUGUUUCUAAAAUAAACAAGUGUUUCUGUCUUGUUUUCCAGCACAAAGCUCUUUCUGAAUGAACAUUUACUGGAGAAGCGGAGCAUAUUUUGUUGUUGAUAAAGACAAAUGAAUGAAAAUGAUGCAUAUUUCUGCAUUAAAGCAACCAAACCUGUUAAUAGAGUCAGAGAAAUAACCUUAAUUCACAGAGGAAACUGCACUGCAGAAAACUUAAUUAGCAUUAAAAUAAUAUUAAUAUUUAGCUCCUCCAGUAAACGUCUUCUUUUGUUCUGUAAUGAAUCUUUUAUAGGAGUACACUUUUAUAUUCAUGUGUGUUGGUGAUGUUUCUGUCUGCUCUGAGAUUUGCUGGUGAUUAUUGUGCAGAACCGUCCAGUUGAGCAAUACAGAUAUUAAUAACCGAAGGCUUUAAAGUCCGAGUGAACCGGAUGAACUGCAGGUUUUAUUUUAGUAUGUUGCAUCUCCAGCUGAAACGGAAUAUUGAGUAGGGGGCGGGGUUUUAAAUUAGAGCUCCGCCUUUCAUCUUUCACCUGCAGCAAACUAAUGGUUGGAGGGGCGUGGCUAAGCAUAUUUCGCCCAAUCAGAGAAGGUCUUCUGUGCAGAUUUUGAUUAAAUAAGACGAUUUGAUUUGGUACAGACCUGAAAGAGUUUGUGAUUAUGAUAAUACUGAAUUACUGAAUCGCCCAAUAGCAGCUAAUGGAUGAUUGAUCGCAGCGAUUGUGGAUAUUGUGGUGUGUUGAUCCAGUUUAUCAGGCACUGGCAGAAGUCAGAUUUAAAUGUAAAUAUGUUUGUAUUGUCUAUUGUAAAUAAAACUUUGAUUCCACUGUA
Molecule: non-coding RNA, 3226 nt
Organism: Danio rerio (zebrafish)
Lineage: Eukaryota; Metazoa; Chordata; Actinopteri; Cypriniformes; Danionidae
Source: RefSeq, a predicted model, not a curated record